Molecule: ribosomal RNA, 324 nt
Filed under: Triticum aestivum (bread wheat)
Lineage: Eukaryota; Viridiplantae; Streptophyta; Magnoliopsida; Poales; Poaceae
Description: partial small subunit ribosomal RNA
Source: RNAcentral
AUGGAUGGUCUUCUACAUUGGGAUUUCUCCCCCGGCCUUGCGGUCGCGGCUCAGGUGCGUCAACGCUUCGGUUCUACGGUUCACUUCUCUCCCUCUGGUGGUUGCAAGGAAUUCUUUUUGGUGGUUAGCUUCUCUUCGGCCUCCUUCACUCUCAAUGAAGAAUCUGUUGCUUUGGCUCUGCAAUGUUCCAUUGGAGGUUUCCCCUCGGGAUUGCAUGUUAAGCAUUUGGAUGGAUGUUGUUUUCGGUUCUCGGUUUCCUCUAAUCGGGUUGGUCAUUUCAUCUAUGGUCUCAAGGACCGAGUAUGGCUAGAUCUGUCACUUUAG